GACGAACGCUGGCGGCGUGCUUAACACAUGCAAGUCGAGCGGUAAGGCCCUUUCGGGGGUACACGAGCGGCGAACGGGUGAGUAACACGUGGGUGACCUGCCCUUAGCUCUGGGAUAAGCCUGGGAAACUGGGUCUAAUACCGGAUAUGACUCCAUGACGCAUGUUGUGGGGUGGAAAGCCUUGUGCGGCUAGGGAUGGGCCCGCGGCCUAUCAGCUUGUUGGUGGGGUGAUGGCCUACCGAGGCGACGACGGGUAGCCGGCCUGAGAGGGCGGCCGGCCACACUGGGACUGAGACACGGCCCAGACUCCUACGGGAGGCAGCAGUGGGGAAUCUUGCGCAAUGGGCGAAAGCCUGACGCAGCGACGCCGCGUGAGGGAUGACGGCCUCGGUUGUAAC
Molecule: ribosomal RNA, 398 nt
Filed under: uncultured bacterium
Lineage: Bacteria
Description: bacterial SSU rRNA
Rfam family: Bacterial small subunit ribosomal RNA
Source: RNAcentral